CCUACGGGAGGCUGCAGUGAGGAAUAUUGGUCAAUGGACGAGAGUCUGAACCAGCCAAGUAGCGUGAAGGAUGACUGCCCUAUGGGUUGUAAACUUCUUUUAUAUGGGAAUAAAAUGUUCCACGUGUGGGUUUUUGUAUGUACCAUAUGAAUAAGGAUCGGCUAACUCCGUGCCAGCAGCCGCGGUAAUACGGAGGAUCCGAGCGUUAUCCGGAUUUAUUGGGUUUAAAGGGGGCGUAGGUGGAUUGUUAAGUCAGUUGUGAAAGUUUGCGGCUCAACCGUAAAAUUGCAGUUGAAACUGGCAGUCUUGAGUACAGUAGAGGUGGGCGGAAUGCGUGGUGUAGCGGUGAAAUGCAUAGAUAUCACGAAGAACUCCGAUUGCGAAGGCAGCUCACUGGACUGCAACUGACACUGAGGCUCGAAAGUGUGGGUAUCAAACAGGAUUAGAUACCCGAGUAGUC
This 460-nucleotide ribosomal RNA is filed under the name uncultured bacterium. Its description in RNAcentral is "partial 16S ribosomal RNA". It matches the Rfam family "Bacterial small subunit ribosomal RNA", at positions 338 to 795 of the family's 1533-position model. The record is from RNAcentral.